GUUCGUUUGAAAUAUAAAAUUUGAAAUUUCCAAAUAUUUUCAGAAAAAUCAAAUAAUUUUAAUAAAAUAUUUCGAAAAGAUAACUUUGUCAAUUUUAAAAUAAGAUUUGUUUGUGAACUUUUCCAAAUUAACAAUAUUUUAUCCCGACCGACCGGAUCACGUUUCGGAAAACAAAGUUCCUCUUCAUACGAAAUUCGCUGAAUUAAUGCAAAAGAGGAUUUUCCUACGCAUUCUUCGCUGAGAGCCUUUAACACACGAGUUUCCUAACAAGUUCUACAUCUUCCUUUGACUGUUGGACCCAUAAAACAAUAUGGUGCAUUAGUCGAUGAGCGAACUGGCAUUUAAUAAGGAAUCUGGAAAAUAAGGUUUCAACAUCACUUUUUCCUUGAGAUUUAAUUCGGAUAUUGUUUACAAUUUUUAUGUUUAAGGAAAUUGAAAAUUUUACUACCAUCACUAUGUAAAACUUAUUCUUCUUAAAAUCAACAUCUUGAUAUAUACGGUGCAGCUGUCGCUUCUUGAUUAAAUUAAGUUUCCUGAACAAUAUAGUACAAGAUGCUGAACAUCCACAUAUCAUCAUCAUUAAUCACACUAAAAUGAACCAGUGGUGCUAAAAGGAACAGCUUAACGAAACUCCAUUUGGAAAAAUGAAAUAAAAUGUUCCAUUAAAAGUUUCUAGAAUUCCAGAACCCAUUCAAACAUGGCAAUAGAUGACUGUGGGUCGAGCCUCGCCUGAAAUGGUUACUUUUUCUAACAUUUUGUGUAUUUUACAUGGAAUAAUUAUUUCUGGAUUCAGAAUAUGUCACGUUGCCAUAUUUAUACCCAAACCAACUAUAUGAGUAAGGUUUAUAACAUGCCGACCCAAAUUUGUCUUUACUGAUCGAUUUUUUCAAACAAGACUUUUAUAUAAGUGAAUUUAAUAAACUUGUUAUUAAUUUUUCACAGUCGCUAGA
Long non-coding RNA from Musca domestica (house fly), 950 nucleotides. RefSeq lists it as uncharacterized. NCBI's taxonomy places the organism in Eukaryota, Metazoa, Arthropoda, Insecta, Diptera, Muscidae. The transcript has 2 exons. The record is from RefSeq and is a predicted model, not a curated record.